UACGUAUGGAGCAAGCGUUAUCCGGAUUUACUGGGCGUAAAGGGAGCGUAGGCGGCCUGCCAAGUCUGAUGUGAAAUACCGGGGCUCAACCCCGGGGCUGCAUUGGAAACUGGCAGGCUGGAGUGCCGGAGAGGUAGGCGGAAUAAGUUAAGUAGCGGUGAAAUGCAUAGAUAUAACUUAGAACACCGAUAGCGAAGGCAGCUUACCAGACUGAGUCUGACGCUGAUGCACGAGAGCAUGGGUAGCGAACAGG
RNAcentral lists this ribosomal RNA (253 nucleotides) under uncultured bacterium. RNAcentral's name for it is "partial 16S ribosomal RNA". It matches the Rfam family "Bacterial small subunit ribosomal RNA", at positions 524 to 776 of the family's 1533-position model. The record is from RNAcentral.